AUGAAUCCACUACCGGAUCGAAAUCGCGACCCGCUGUGAAGAUCCGGCGAGAAACUCAGCGGGCUGAUGCAUGGAUUAGGUUGCACGUCGACCUCUUUGUCGAGUUCGACGAGUACGGUUACCAGGGUCCCUAAGCCUGCUCCUAGUGUUAGAGCUGAAGGCGUCUAAUGCAAAGGUUAUUGGAUCUGAUGGAUCCGUGGUACCAAGACACUGCACCUACACAGCGUGCCCAUACUUACAACAUAGCUUAUCAUCAAACUUAGAUAGUGACGAAAGCUUGGUGGAAAAAUUGGUGAUGAUUAUCUAUCAUCAUGUAGAAAUAGAGAAUUGCUAAGAAGUCCGUUUUUUUCGGAAGUCAGUGCAUCUCGCAUCUAGAUUAAGAUCCUGCCUUGCGAUUCUCUAAAAGUCAAACAAGAACUCGCAUCUCACUACGAAAUUCUCCAUCACUUCGCAUUCGCAAUAGAAUGACCUUGAAUUGGCAUUCUGUAAACACUAAUCUUAAUUACCCUGCCUCGAGCGAAGUGAAGUGACAACGAAGUUUGUUUAUACUACUACUAGGGAUAGCCGUAAACACGCAAAUGUAAAUCGAAGCUUACCGGUUUCAGUUUUUCGUUGUAUUUAUAAGCAUUCUGUAAGAAAAUACUAUGAAUUUAAGCUUUGGUGUUAAAGCCACAUCUAAUAUAUCUAAAAAGAAAAUUAAAAGUCAUAUAUUUAUGAAAUUAAUUGUAAUUUCUGGAUGUACGCUAAGUUCCUUUGCGUGCACUGGCGAAUACCAGAAUUAAAAAACAAAAUUUUAAUUGUUUUCAAAACAAUCUCAAGCAGUCGGAAGUUUUUAUUUUGCUUUUUCUAGAUUUUUUGUUACUUUGUGAGUGAAUUUAACGUUAAAUAAAAAAUUAUGAGGUAAGUAAAAGUUAGUUUUGAGGCUAUCAAUGGUUCAUCCAUUUGUUUUUUAAUCUAAAAUUUCAAUAUAUUACCAACAGACUUAACGAGCGUUCUUCUCAUCCGACAUUGGUGCAAAUAGAGGCAUUGAUAGACGUUUUGGAUUAAAAGCUAGCGAAACAAAAGGUUUAAUCGUAUCUCAACAUGUUCAAUAAGAUAACAAGGAUAUUAAAAAAUAUUGGAACUAAAUUCUCUUGUCAGAUAUGAUCCAUUCCCGGAGAAAUAUUUAGGACAUGUUAACAUCUAUUUAUGUAUGAUAAAUCUAUCUACUACGUUUUUAUUGAUAUUCUAUUUUAAGAGGGAAUAUCGGUAAUUUAUCUGUAUCUCAAAUUCACCAGCAAAAAAAAUUAUAUUGAAUUAAAUAAAUCAAAUCAUUAACAAUUUAGGUAUUGCAAGUUGGAUUGAUGUUGUUGGAAUGUUUUUAUUGAUGCAGAGGUGACUCUAUUUAUGGUAAAGGGUGUGCAUAUUGGUACAGGGGUGGCAGGCAGUUCCAGAGUAUUGACUAAACUGACAUUAUGUAGGUUAAAGGCUGCAUACUCCGUUUAAAAUAAAUGAACAAAAUUUAGGCAUAACCUUUUUUAUUAUAUUUAAGGAACUACAACAGAUUGAAAAUACUAAUCCACAUCAUAAGAAUAUUGUAAGGAGAAUUUAUUGCCAACUCGGAAAAUGUAUCAGUAUUGGAACAAUCCCAAACAUACAGCACCUCAACACCUGACCUGCUAUUUCACCACUUUUCAAUGAAAAGCAGAGUGUACUCAAAUUACAACAAAUUACACAGUACCAGGAUAUAUAACUUAAACAACCAUGGGGAAAUAAAUAGUCGACAGUCUGCAAGAAGGAUGAACUGUUGGUGGAAUUAGCAUAUGCAGCUAGGAAUUUUAAACCUGUAUUUCCACAUAUUACUGAUGCAAACAAAUUUCAAAAUUAUUGUAUAUAACUAUUGAAUAAAACUAUAAUAAAACUAUUUUUAUAAAUCAUUAA
Long non-coding RNA from Bombyx mori (domestic silkworm), 1920 nucleotides. RefSeq lists it as uncharacterized. The record is from RefSeq and is a predicted model, not a curated record. NCBI's taxonomy places the organism in Eukaryota, Metazoa, Arthropoda, Insecta, Lepidoptera, Bombycidae. The transcript is spliced from 2 exons.